RNAcentral lists this long non-coding RNA (415 nucleotides) under Eucalyptus grandis. RNAcentral's name for it is "long non-coding RNA (EGRA_LNC006330)". Lineage: Eukaryota; Viridiplantae; Streptophyta; Magnoliopsida; Myrtales; Myrtaceae. The record is from RNAcentral.
AAAAUGAACUGUCCUACGACCUACAAGUCGGACACGCUCUCCAAUCCUUAUAACUUCAUCUCUGCAACUCCUCAAGGCCAACCAAAGCUAUCUGGCCGCUCCGUCCACCGAGGACCUGAAAUUUUAAUCCCACAACCGAGAUGAGACGAUGUCUCAGCAAGUUCAACCCCCUAAACCCCUAUUAGAAAGAAAAUACGCCCCGAGUGGCCUAGCCACAUCACACAGAAGACUUACCUCGCCUCAGCCUUCAUCUGCAGGUUAGCACAAUUUAUAUAUAAUUCAACCACGUACCAUUAGGAUAACCAAACAACCAUGGCACAAUCACAUUAUCAAAACAAUUAAACCCCUUGGAUCGUCUCAGCGAUCAAUCGACUUAGCCGAUUACAUGUCAUUCUAGCAAAUCAAUCAUUGCUCU